This 119-nucleotide ribosomal RNA is filed under the name Frullania subrostrata. Its description in RNAcentral is "partial 26S ribosomal RNA". It matches the Rfam family "Eukaryotic large subunit ribosomal RNA", at positions 1 to 118 of the family's 3401-position model. The record is from RNAcentral. Lineage: Eukaryota; Viridiplantae; Streptophyta; Jungermanniopsida; Porellales; Frullaniaceae.
UGGACCUCAGAUCAGGCAAGAUCACCCGCUGAGUUUAAGCAUAUCACUAAGCGGAGGAAAAGAAACUAACGAGGAUUUCCCUAGUAACGGCGAGCGAACCGGAAGUAGCCCAGCUUGAA